GCCCUCGUUGUCUAAUGGCUAUGACGUCAGACUUCUAAUCUGGAGGUUGCGGGUUCGAGUCCCGCCGGGGGUA
This 73-nucleotide transfer RNA is filed under the name Volvariella volvacea V23. RNAcentral describes it as "tRNA-Arg (TCT) (tRNA-Arg-TCT-2-1)". It matches the Rfam family "tRNA". From Rfam's summary of the family: Transfer RNA (tRNA) molecules are approximately 80 nucleotides in length. Their secondary structure includes four short double-helical elements and three loops (D, anti-codon, and T loops). Further hydrogen bonds mediate the characteristic L-shaped molecular structure. tRNAs have two regions of fundamental functional importance: the anti-codon, which is responsible for specific mRNA codon recognition, and the 3' end, to which the tRNAs corresponding amino acid is attached (by aminoacyl-tRNA synthetases). tRNAs cope with the degeneracy of the genetic code in two manners: having more than one tRNA (with a specific anti-codon) for a particular amino acid; and 'wobble' base-pairing, i.e. permitting non-standard base-pairing at the 3rd anti-codon position. The record is from RNAcentral. Lineage: Eukaryota; Fungi; Basidiomycota; Agaricomycetes; Agaricales; Pluteaceae.